Molecule: ribosomal RNA, 497 nt
Filed under: uncultured bacterium
Lineage: Bacteria
Description: partial 16S ribosomal RNA
Rfam family: Bacterial small subunit ribosomal RNA
Source: RNAcentral
GAUGAACGCUGGCGGCGUGCCUAAUACAUGCAAGUCGAGCGCACAGACUCGGCUCUUGCUCCUCUGACGUUAGCCGCGGACGGGUGUGUAACACGUGGAUAACCUCCCUUUCAUACUGGUAUAACUUCGGGACACCUGCUCUUAUACCGUAUACUCUGUUUAACCGCUUGGUUCAAUAGUGAAAGACGUUUUUGCUGUCACUUAUAGUUGGAUCCGCGCCGCUUUAGGUAGUUGGUAUGGUCACGGGUUACCAUGGCAACGAUGCGUAGCCGACCUGAGAGGGUGAGCGGGCACACUGGAACUGAGACACGGUCCAAACGCCCACGGGAGGCAGCAGUAGGGAAUCGUGCGAAAUGGGCGAAAGCGUGAAAGAGCAACGCCGCGUGAGUGAUGAAGGGAUGCGGAUCGUAGAACUCUGUUAUUAGGGAAGAAAAAAUGUGUAAGUAACAAUGCACGUCGUGACGGUACCGAAUAAGAAAGCCACGGCUAACUACGUG